Molecule: long non-coding RNA, 1335 nt
Filed under: Rattus norvegicus (Norway rat)
Lineage: Eukaryota; Metazoa; Chordata; Mammalia; Rodentia; Muridae
Description: long non-coding RNA NONRATT002332
Source: RNAcentral
UAUGUAACAUUGUGCAUUUAUUUACAAAGAGGUUAGAGAAACACACAGAAUCUGGCCCCCCAUGCACCGGGGAGUCACCAUUGUCAUAAUAAAUACAGUAAUUUUUUAAUCAAAAAAACAAAUUAAAAAAACCCACUGGAUUGGAACAGCUGAGGGUCAUUCAGCUUCCCCCACUCCCCGUGGGGAGAGGCACGAGAUUGAAACCAUCUUCCUUCCUCUCUCUAACCUCCCAAUCCUCCAUGACUGUCCAGGGAUGGAGCAGAAAGAGUCCUUUCCAGGUGUUGGCAACUCCUACUUGACCCUCAAAGCCCCGAAGACAGUGCCAUUUCCUCUUUCAGGGCACUCUGUAGGCAAAACCUGAGUCAGACGGUCUCUGACUCGGGGGCCCCCAGGGGAUAUCCUAAGGGUCCAGGGACAUGGAGGGGGCACUUUGUGAAUGAGAAGGGUGCCCUAUCUGGGCAAGGAAAAGAGGAAUGAGAAGGCUAUGUGAGAGAAGUGGAGAGAGAACAGACUAAGCUUCUAAAAUUAAAACGGGGUAGAGGAGGGGAGACCCGAAUGGAACGGAAUUACUGCAUUUGCAUACAUGGACACCCAUUGUACAGAUGGGGAGAGUGUGGCCCACAGAGGGGCGCCUUCUGGUUCAAGGCUUUGAAAACCAGCUGUACUGGGACAAUCUGGGCGCCUCCCAGUGGGAGGAGAGGGGCGGCCUCUCCAGGACUGCUAUGGACGGCGGGCAGUGAGUGAGGAGGGUCUUUGGAAGCAGAGAAAACGGUGGUCUUUGGAAGGUGGGUGUGGAGGAGGUUGGAGGAUGAGAAGUGUGGGGGUGCGGAGGCCAUGGAGGUGAAGUUCAAGCCCAUCCCGCCCCAACUCACACAGUCGUCAUGACCUUUAGAGAACCCGACCGAAAACGAAGGAUCUUUUUCUUCAGCGCGUGCGAUGCCUUGAUUUUCACGAAGACCUUGGCGGGACCCGCGGGCGUCCCACCACCCGCCGCACCCCCUGGCCCCGACGGCGAGGCUCCUGCGGCCGCCACCAGCUGCUGCGGCCACACGAGGCCUCCGCUGCCGUCGGAGUCGCUGGAGGCAGAGCUGAAGGCGGGCGACUCGCCCUCGCUGGCGCUCGACUCGCUCUCGCCAUAGCCUCCCGGUGCGCAUCCAGACGGCAUCCGACGGCCGAGCGGCACGGGUCGCCCGGCCGCCGAGCACUCGGAGUCGCUGCCUGCGCAGCCGUACAGCAGCCGACGCGGGGGCGCGGACGGUGAGGGCGCGGGGCCGCGCGGCGCGGGCACGCGGGCUCGGGGACGGCGGACAUCGGGCGCGUCGAUCUCAGCUGUGG